Molecule: long non-coding RNA, 1783 nt
Organism: Macrobrachium nipponense
Lineage: Eukaryota; Metazoa; Arthropoda; Malacostraca; Decapoda; Palaemonidae
Exons: 3
Source: RefSeq, a predicted model, not a curated record
UCUCUCUCUCUCUCUCUCUCUCUCUCGCACGGCACUUUUGAUUUUGAAGUAAUGUAACGAUUUCAUACUUACUGAAUGGUCACUCGUAACUUGUAGAUUUCAGAUUUGAUAUUUCUUAGUUUAUUUAGUAUUAUUUAGUGUUUUGUGGAAUCUGAACAAACAUUAUAUUAGUGUGUAACGGUGCCUAUUUUUGUGAAUUGUGGAGAAUUUUUUAACAAGCUGCAGCAAAGAAAGAAAACUGGUAUACCAAGAAGAGCAGAGAAAAGAAGGAACGACAGCAAAACGGCCAUACACACCCAAAGAAACUCAGGCCAGAGAGAGAGGAGCGGCAGCGGUAUUUGCAUUCCAAGUGGGAGAGAGGUGUUUACAUAUAACAACCCAAGAGUAGUCAACCCUAUAGCCGAAGUUCAUCGGGGAUAUACCGUAAACCUGAAAAAGUACGCUCUACACUAGCCCGAGUGACAGGAAGAGCUACUCCCACAUCGGCCAAUUUCUUCAAGUCUUGAUGUGGAUGACAUUGCCACCAUUUGAAAAUGUCUACAUUCCUAUCUACUCUCUUACAAGUGGUGUAUUAAUGUAGCCAUGUACACAUGUCUCUCAUUAUUCUCUCUCAGACUCAGUAUAGAGUAUUUAAUCUUUUUAGCUUUAUUAAAUAUGAUCUUCCCCAAUAAUCAAAUUUGAAUGCCAAUUUCCUUAAAAUCUGUAGAGUUCCUUUGAAUUUCCUAUAAAGAUAAGGUUGCAUCUUAAAACAUUAGUCAGGGAAAAAUUAGGUUACACUAUCAAAAAGUCACUAUUUGUCAUCUGGUUUAUCCAGGAUGUGGGCAGUCUACAUUGGAAUAAAUAAGUACGAAAUGAGUACGGAAAAGGCACGGAAAAAAUAACUUAAUUUCGUAUCAUACCAUACUUAAAAAAUAAUAUAGUACCGUAAUUUUGUACUGUUCUUGCAAGUGGAAAAAUACCAUACCGUACCGUAAUUCCGUACCAUUCUGUACCGUACUGCCACCCUUGACGACCUGUUAAUAAGGUUCUAGGCCAGAUGUUACAGCCGAUAAAUGCAUCCAAAUGGAGAAGCUACCAGCCCAUCACAAGGCUAGACGGUUAAGGUACCACGCUAAAUUUUAGCUACUUCAUUACAAAAAUACAAAAUGCAUAUAAUGAAAUUGAAAUAAGCAAAAGCAAUUCAUAUUUGAACACACAAAAUGGUCACAUGCUUACAUUGCCACAUGAACUCUGCUUAAGCAUGACAAAAUCACUUAAGUUUACAAAACAGAACACUGAAACAUUAUCCCCGAUACUUGGGCUUUCUGUAAUCACCACAAAUUCCUAGCUACAAAUGGAGAUGGCAAAGAUUAAGCACAAUUACUCACAUGUUACUUGGUCACGUACAACACCCCACCCUGUUGGGUCACACUCAUGUACAGUCUCACUGGACUGUUCCCUCAAGGUCUUUACAAAUGGGAUUCUAGAAUUGAAAAGGAGGAGGACGAGCCACCGUGUAGGCUCCUUUUAUAGCCGCUUGAGCUUGUGAAUUAUAAUGCAAUUAAAAUCAUUAAAAAGGCUUCAGUUCCCAAAUCUACUCAGAAAUUUAUGUAGCACAAUGAGUGAGUGUGUGCCACUUGGGACCCAAAGACAACAAAACAAUAAGUCACACACACACAACAUAAGAACCAUUCUCCUCCUUGCUGCCAAUUUGUACUAUGGACUCUGAAAAGGUAGGUGGAUGGGCGGGAAUUGAUCGCAGGAAAAUCUGUGCGCAGGCUUUUUCCGCGACACUUACCAUGUU